UUAAAUUGAAGAGUUUGAUCAUGGCUCAGAUUGAACGCUGGCGGCAGGCCUAACACAUGCAAGUCGAACGGUAACAGGAAACAGCUUGCUGUUUCGCUGACGAGUGGCGGACGGGUGAGUAAUGUCUGGGAAACUGCCUGAUGGAGGGGGAUAACUACUGGAAACGGUAGCUAAUACCGCAUAAUGUCGCAAGACCAAAGAGGGGGACCUUCGGGCCUCUUGCCAUCGGAUGUGCCCAGAUGGGAUUAGCUAGUAGGUGGGGUAACGGCUCACCUAGGCGACGAUCCCUAGCUGGUCUGAGAGGAUGACCAGCCACACUGGAACUGAGACACGGUCCAGACUCCUACGGGAGGCAGCAGUGGGGAAUAUUGCACAAUGGGCGCAAGCCUGAUGCAGCCAUGCCGCGUGUAUGAAGAAGGCCUUCGG
Molecule: ribosomal RNA, 426 nt
Filed under: Escherichia sp. E4742
Lineage: Bacteria; Pseudomonadati; Pseudomonadota; Gammaproteobacteria; Enterobacterales; Enterobacteriaceae
Description: bacterial SSU rRNA
Rfam family: Bacterial small subunit ribosomal RNA
Source: RNAcentral